AUUGAACGCUGGCGGCAGGCCUAACACAUGCAAGUCGAGCGGUAGCACAGAGAGCUUGCUCUCGGGUGACGAGCGGCGGACGGGUGAGUAAUGUCUGGGAAACUGCCUGAUGGAGGGGGAUAACUACUGGAAACGGUAGCUAAUACCGCAUAACGUCGCAAGACCAAAGUGGGGGACCUUCGGGCCUCAUGCCAUCAGAUGUGCCCAGAUGGGAUUAGCUAGUAGGUGGGGUAACGGCUCACCUAGGCGACGAUCCCUAGCUGGUCUGAGAGGAUGACCAGCCACACUGGAACUGAGACACGGUCCAGACUCCUACGGGAGGCAGCAGUGGGGAAUAUUGCACAAUGGGCGCAAGCCUGAUGCAGCCAUGCCGCGUGUAUGAAGAAGGCCUUCGGGUUGUAAAGUACUUUCAGCGGGGAGGAAGGGGUUAAGGUUAAUAACCUUAGCCAUUGACGUUACCCGCAGAAGAAGCACCGGCUAACUCCGUGCCAGCAGCCGCGGUAAUACGGAGGGUGCAAGCGUUAAUCGGAAUUACUGGGCGUAAAGCGCACGCAGGCGGUCUGUCAAGUCGGAUGUGAAAUCCCCGGGCUCAACCUGGGAACUGCAUUCGAAACUGGCAGGCUUGAGUCUCGUAGAGGGGGGUAGAAUUCCAGGUGUAGCGGUGAAAUGCGUAGAGAUCUGGAGGAAUACCGGUGGCGAAGGCGGCCCCCUGGACGAAGACUGACGCUCAGGUGCGAAAGCGUGGGGAGCAAACAGGAUUAGAUACCCUGGUAGUCCACGCCGUAAACGAUGUCUAUUUGGAGGUUGUGCCCUUGAGGCGUGGCUUCCGGAGCUAACGCGUUAAAUAGACCGCCUGGGGAGUACGGCCGCAAGGUUAAAACUCAAAUGAAUUGACGGGGGCCCGCACAAGCGGUGGAGCAUGUGGUUUAAUUCGAUGCAACGCGAAGAACCUUACCUGGUCUUGACAUCUACAGAACUUGGCAGAGAUGCCUUGGUGCCUUCGGGAACUGUGAGACAGGUGCUGCAUGGCUGUCGUCAGCUCGUGUUGUGAAAUGUUGGGUUAAGUCCCGCAACGAGCGCAACCCUUAUCCUUUGUUGCCAGCGGUUAGGCCGGGAACUCAAAGGAGACUGCCAGUGAUAAACUGGAGGAAGGUGGGGAUGACGUCAAGUCAUCAUGGCCCUUACGACCAGGGCUACACACGUGCUACAAUGGCAUAUACAAAGAGAAGCGACCUCGCGAGAGCAAGCGGACCUCAUAAAGUAUGUCGUAGUCCGGAUUGGAGUCUGCAACUCGACUCCAUGAAGUCGGAAUCGCUAGUAAUCGUGGAUCAGAAUGCCACGGUGAAUACGUUCCCGGGCCUUGUACACACCGCCCGUCACACCAUGGGAGUGGGUUGCAAAAGAAGUAGGUAGCUUAACCUUCGGGAGGGCGCUUACCACUUUGUGAUUCAUGACUGGGGUGA
RNAcentral lists this ribosomal RNA (1463 nucleotides) under uncultured Klebsiella sp. RNAcentral's name for it is "bacterial SSU rRNA". It matches the Rfam family "Bacterial small subunit ribosomal RNA". Lineage: Bacteria; Pseudomonadati; Pseudomonadota; Gammaproteobacteria; Enterobacterales; Enterobacteriaceae. The record is from RNAcentral.